This 500-nucleotide ribosomal RNA is filed under the name uncultured Glomeromycotina. Its description in RNAcentral is "partial small subunit ribosomal RNA". It matches the Rfam family "Eukaryotic small subunit ribosomal RNA", at positions 591 to 1092 of the family's 1831-position model. Lineage: Eukaryota; Fungi; Glomeromycota. The record is from RNAcentral.
CCAAUAGCGUAUAUUAAAGUUGUUGCAGUUAAAAAGCUCGUAGUUGAAUUUCGGAAUCGACGGAUUGGUCGCGCCUUCGGUGUGUACUGGUCUUGCCGGUUUCUCCCUUCUGACGAACCACGAUGUCAUUAAUUUGGUGUCGUGGGGAAUCAGGACUGUUACUUUGAAAAAAUUAGAGUGUUUAAAGCAGGCAUUAGCUUGAAUACAUUAGCAUGGAAUAAUGAAAUAGGACGUUUGAUCUUAUUUUGUUGGUUUCUAGGAUCGACGUAAUGAUUAAUAGGGAUAGUUGGGGGCAUUAGUAGUCAAUUGUCAGAGGUGAAAUUCUUGGAUUUAUUGAAGACUAACUACUGCGAAAGCAGUUGCCAAGGAUGUUUUCAUUAAUCAAGAACGAAAGUUAGGGGAUCGAAGACGAUCAGAUACCGUCGUAGUCUUAACCAUAAACUAUGCCGACUAGGGAUCGGAUGAUGUUAAUUUUUUAAUGACUCAUUCGGCGCCUUACG